Xiphophorus hellerii (green swordtail) is the source of this 1067-nucleotide long non-coding RNA. RefSeq lists it as uncharacterized. The record is from RefSeq and is a predicted model, not a curated record. NCBI's taxonomy places the organism in Eukaryota, Metazoa, Chordata, Actinopteri, Cyprinodontiformes, Poeciliidae. The transcript is spliced from 3 exons.
GAUCUCCUUUAUUGCUGUUGCUGCCAUAGACAUAAUAUAAGGGUAGACGCCGCAUUGGCCGCUCCGGCGCAGGAAAUACGGCGGCCAUCUUAGAGCGGUAUACCCUCGUACUUUGCUGAACCAAAACAACAGAAGAUGCCUCAGUUCUGCUCGGCUUAUUCGUGUUUAAAUCUACGAACUGUUGAUGUCAGGGACCGGGGGAUAACUUUUCACAAGUAAGAAUGACAUAUUAUUGUUAGUAUGUUGUGAAUGUAAUAUUACUGUACUGUAUUUAUGCCCACCAGCGAAAUGACAGCAAAUGUUAGCUAUCGGUCUUCAGCCGGAGAUUUGAUGACAGGAAUAUGUUUCAAACAGGCCUACUCACAAUUUCAGUAGCUUUGUUUAAUUAUUAUUAUCAACAAAUUUUAAUCAAAUUUGGAGUUUUAUGUUCUUUAAAAUAUGAAGAUCAAAAAUAGUGAGUGUAACGUUUUUCUGAAUGCUCAGCUUAAGCAGGCAACAAGGCUCCUUAGUUUCAACCGUUGCAAAUAACAUGGACCUCAUUCGGACAAUGUUUUUGUGUACACACUCCCAGAUAUCACGUUUUUGUUUUAAAGGUUUCCAAAAGAUAAAGAGAGGAGGAAGAGGUGGGAAAUAGCUUUGAGGAGGGAUGGAUUCACUGCAAGUGAUUCAUCUGUACUAUGCAGUGAGCAUUUCAAAACGGAGGAUUUUGACAAAACAGGUCAGAUUGUCAGACUGAGAGCUGAUGUGAUACCAUCAAUUUUCAGCUUCCCAGUUCACCUUCAAAGAGUUGAAAACUACAGAACUACAAUAACCUCCACAAAAGCCCAAAGUAGUGAGUAUGUGGCCUCUCAAGAUGACCCAGAAACUUGUAGUUCAGACCUGCAACCCCAGUCUAAUGAUGAUCAUUGCUAUGCUUUGCCAGCUUCUCUUACCGCUGUCACUGCAAAACAUAAGAGAGCGUUGGCAAGAGUGGAAUAUCUGGAGCGGGACAAGAAAAACACCAUGGCCAGAGAGAAGAGGGCAAAGACCACAGCAAAGUCACUUUUGGGGGAAUUGAGUGAAAAAAA